GAGAUUCUGAGACAAAUGCCGUAAUCUCCCUACGCCCGAAAUCACAACAUGUAAUAUUAGUUUCGUCUCAAACGUCAUUCGAACCGGCGACAUCUACGCUUCGCCUAAGAUCUUUACCAGUUGAGGUAAGGACACUUGGUCUCUCUAUCUUAUACAUGGGAAAAUCUAAUAUUUCAUAUAUAAUCUUUUGCGUUAGUUUUUCUCUGACAUAUGCUAUCACUAUCUCACACAAGUCCUGGACUAAAACUCGUAAAGCAAGGAUUUUAGAUAUCUCAUGGUUAUUAACUUUUUAGAGGCAUCAACUUCUGAAAACGUCGAAGUAGUGUAGCGGUCAAACCUUGUAUUAUCCAUUCAACAGUUUUUAUUAGUGGGUCACUUUUGUUUUGCUUUAAGCACUAAAAUAGUUUCGGCUCGCCGUGCUAUUAAUAUAUGCGCGCAACUACGUAUUUUGGAAUACAAGCAGAAAAACUUCAAUAAUAUCUUUAUAGGAAAAAGAAAGCUUUACUAUUAUUUGAUUUACUUCAAUUUACAACUCAACAUUGACCAUAUUAUAUAGGAAGUAACACAAAACGAUAGACGGAAUAGCAAACUAGUUAUAGACUUAUAGGUCUGUAUGUUUUCACAUAUGUACUUGUUCUUUAGAACUUUUUCGAAUUGUUCAACCAAAAAUCAUUGAUUGGGUAGGUAAGAAAUCGUCCUUAGUUUAUAAUCAUAUAUAUAAAUAUAACACAGAUAAAACUGGAUCAUUCCAUUUCUGAAUCUCUCGGACAUGACACCAACUGAUCGAGAAAUACAUAAUGAUCAUGUACGUGUACAUGAGGAUAUGUUUGGCUUCAAAUCACUAUCAUAUAUUAUGGGGUUAAAUUAAACCCCACACGGACACACACAAAUAAAAAAGUUAUCAACAAUACUUAUAAGUACAAAACUAGAACAUAUGUACACAUAUUAGCUAGGUUUGUCUCAUGUCUUGCUCUCUAACUAUUGUAGUUUUUUUUCAUCAUUAGAUCCGUCUAAAAACUUAAUUAAAUAUCGAUUAAAUCCUUUAUCAAAAAAAAAAUAUCGAUUAAAUCAGCCAAUUAAAAAAUUAUUAUAAAGUUUUCCAUUUUAGUGGUUCUUAGUGAUUUUAUCGUUUUAUGAAUGUGAAAAAAGAUAACGUGAACCCUUUAUAAAAUAUAGUGUUUAUAGAAUUAAUGUACUGAAAAAGUGUAGUGUCAUCAAAAGAUUCAAAACUCUAAGACUACGAGUUAUUUAAUUAAUUAAUUUUUUUUUUUUUGAUAAAAUGUAGUUUAAAUUUUGAACUGAUGAUAGAGAUGGAGUUAAUUUUUUUUUUUUUUUGCAGCGUAAUUAAUGUUUCUAUUUUCUAUAUUAUUGUUAUUGGUUUUCCUUUGGGAAUAAUAUAGGUUUUUUUUUCGUCUAGAUUUAUUAUUUAUUGCAAAUUAUAAGAACUGUUAAGUAGACGAUUCUAUAACAGACAAUUCCUUCCGAUCCUUAUUAGAUACACGACCUCCUUCACCUCCUUCACCUCUUUCUUCAUGGUUUUGAUGGACACUUUCUUCUCUGUGUAGAAUCCUGGCGAACGGCUAUAAUUGUAUAUCGCUGGAGAUCUCUUACAUACUUACCUCCAAUAAUAUGCAAUUUAUUAAUAAAUCGCAGUAUCUGGAACUCGAAUCCCAAACUUCUGGAUGUAAAAGCAUUAAUGAACUUUUGAUCAACCAAUAGGCUAAAAGUGCUUCCACAGAAUAAUAUAGGUUAAAUAUUAGUAUUAAUUCUUAAUACAACAUUAAGAUAUUGUCUGGGACUAUCUUUUUCGGAACACAAUCCGAUUUGAUGAUCAUGAAUUUGUUGGACGGCAUCUCUUCUUCUUCUUUUUAUUGUUGGGACGGCAUCUCAAAGUUUGAUAAACGAAAUUUUUUAAACAACCACACAUUUAAAUUAAAAUUAAAAUAAGACUCCUAGUUGAUAAUUAAUUAAUUUAACAACCAAUAAUGAUAUAACUAAAGAUACAAACGAAUAUUAGGGAGAUCUCAACCACUCAUCAUGCGUAUCUCUUAAGUAAUUGCUUAAAACAUUAGAACUAUUGUCAACUUCGCUCAAGUUCGUGACGUGUAUUAAUUAAAGUGGAUAUUUAAAUCUAGAAUAAUGAGAUUUUAUUAAAAUAAUAUGUGAUUCUGUUCAUAUGCUUAUGGGUACUUAGAAAAAGAGGAGGCAAAAGAAACCAAGAUUUUGGGGAUAUGUAUAAUACUGUGUCGUAUCUUGAAUUACAAAAUAAAGGAAGAUUGAAUAUUAGAUAAUCUUCUAAAGUAUCUUAACAAAAAAUAAGAAUAUCUUUAAUUUUUGAUUCUUGAAUAACAAAAGUAAAGUCAAGAUUAGAAAAUAAUAAGGUGGUUCUAUUAUAUGCAUUGAACUUAGGCUUUUAUUUAUGGCAACUGGCAAAAUGCUUCUUAUUUCCGAAAAAGCAUCGUAUAAAUCAUAAUCUUGUAUAAUUAAGUGGUCUGAGUUUCACAUUUGUUAUGGCAUUUAUGAUGCGAGGCAUGUGCUUAUGAAUUUACACGUAUCCUGAUACUUGCGUAUAUUAGUCAUUUAAAAUUUCAAAAUAGUAUGUAUGUUUGUGUUAGGGUUAUCAACUCAUGCACGUAUAUAUACACUCAAACGAUCUUUUUUUUUGUGUGGGUAGUAUUACUAUCGAUCUGUUGAUAUAUUAGUUAUCUGGAACUUGUAUCUUACCACUUUCAAACUGCCCAAACGAUAUGUUUUCUCGUGGUUAGUAUUAUUACUUCAAUUGUCUCUAGAUCUUUCUAUGAUAUAACUCAGUAUGUCGUAGAGAUAACAGUUAUGUUCCUUCUCAAAUUCGCAGUUUUAUGUGUGAACAAUUCACAUAAAAUAUGGAAGCUCACCAAGGUGAUACUGAUAGCGUACAGAAAUCAGUUGUUAGGUUGGAAACAUCCUUGCAGAUUCCGACUAUAAUAGAGCCCAAAAGAUGGUUCCCACCUACACUUGCUUCAUACUCAUCCGAUGUUAUUGUAUUGGCCUUUAUUUUACUAUGCCCUUCCGAUUUUCCUUCCAAUAUAGGUCUUAGUGAUUCAUGCAUAUGUAUUAUAUAAAACCUUAUUUCCAUUCUAAAAAAU
RNAcentral lists this long non-coding RNA (3125 nucleotides) under Arabidopsis lyrata. Its description in RNAcentral is "long non-coding RNA (ALYR_LNC000826)". Lineage: Eukaryota; Viridiplantae; Streptophyta; Magnoliopsida; Brassicales; Brassicaceae. The record is from RNAcentral.